RNAcentral lists this ribosomal RNA (402 nucleotides) under bacterium. RNAcentral describes it as "partial 16S ribosomal RNA". It matches the Rfam family "Bacterial small subunit ribosomal RNA", at positions 355 to 776 of the family's 1533-position model. The record is from RNAcentral.
UGGGGAAUUUUGCACAAUGGGGGAAACCCUGAUGCAGCGACGCCGCGUGAUUUAGAAGGCCUUCGGGUUGUAAAAAUCUUUUCUAUGGGAAGAAAAUGACAGUACCAUAGGAAUAAGGACCGGCUAAUUACGUGCCAGCAGCCGCGGUAAUACGUAAGGUCCGAGCGUUGUCCGGAAUCAUUGGGCGUAAAGGGUACGUAGGCGGGUAAGCAAGUUAGAAGUGAAAUCCUAUAGCUCAACUAUAGUAAGCUUUUAAAACUGCUCAUCUUGAGGUAUGGAAGGGAAAGUGGAAUUCAUAGUGUAGCGGUGAAAUGCGCAGAUAUUAGGAGGAAUACCGGUGGCGAAGGCGACUUUCUGGCCAUAACCUGACGCUGAGGUACGAAAGCGUGGGUAGCAAACAGG